GCAGAACCUGGAGGGGCGAGUCGGGACCGUACUGUGGACUCUAGAGUGUCUAUAGGCGUUAUGGGUGUGAUAGGUAUACAGCUGGUUGUUACCAUGGUGAUGGCCAGUGUCAUGCAGAAGAUUAUACCUCACUAUUCUCUUGCUCGAUGGCUACUCUGUAAUGGCAGCUUGAGAUGGUAUCAACACCCUUCCGAAGAAGAAUUAAGAAUCCUUGCAGGGAAGCAGCAGAAAGGAAAAAGUAAAAAAGACAGUUCUGUUGACUACAAUGCCCUCUUCUGGUCUUCAAAGAGCACUCACUGCAUGCAUGUGCUGCACAGAUUCUGGCACAAAAACUCAUACAUACAAAAAUAAUAAAAAAUAAUUUUUAAAAAUGUC
Molecule: long non-coding RNA, 375 nt
Filed under: Rattus norvegicus (Norway rat)
Lineage: Eukaryota; Metazoa; Chordata; Mammalia; Rodentia; Muridae
Description: long non-coding RNA NONRATT014893
Source: RNAcentral